Molecule: ribosomal RNA, 360 nt
Filed under: Triticum aestivum (bread wheat)
Lineage: Eukaryota; Viridiplantae; Streptophyta; Magnoliopsida; Poales; Poaceae
Description: partial small subunit ribosomal RNA
Source: RNAcentral
AUGCCCCUCAGUUACACGAGAUUGCAGAAAGUACAUUAUCAGCCUAUUUUUUACAAGCUCCAAUGCAACACCUCCGGAUGGAACAAGCUUAUGCUUCCCACUGCCGGACGGCUUGCUCUAAUCACCUCUGUCUUAUAUGCUUUGCCAGUCUUCCAGAUUUUUGCCAUUGAACCUCCUCGUUGGGUUGUCAAAAAGUUUGACAAAAGAUGCAGAGGUUUCCUUUGGGCAAAUAAAGAUGAGGCAACUGGGGGUAAAUGUCUGGUUAAUUGGAAGCAAGUAUGCUUACCUAAAAAGUUUGGCGGCCUUGGGAUUCCCUGUCUGCUCCAAAAAAGCGAGGCAAUGAGAUGCAAGUGGCUGUAG